RNAcentral lists this transfer RNA (74 nucleotides) under Myoviridae sp. ctPuP5. RNAcentral describes it as "tRNA-Glu". It matches the Rfam family "tRNA". From Rfam's summary of the family: Transfer RNA (tRNA) molecules are approximately 80 nucleotides in length. Their secondary structure includes four short double-helical elements and three loops (D, anti-codon, and T loops). Lineage: Duplodnaviria; Heunggongvirae; Uroviricota; Caudoviricetes. The record is from RNAcentral.
GUUCGGUUCGAAUAACGGUUAGUUCGCAUCCCUUUCACGGAUGAAAUACGGGUUCGAUUCCCGUACCGAAUACA